UACAUGAAGCUGGAGUUACUAGUAAUCGCAGAUCAGAAUGCUGCGGUGAAUGCGUUCCCGGGUCUUGUACACACCGCCCGUCACACCACGGGAGUUGGAGACGCCCGAAGCCGAUUAUCUAACCUUUUGGAAGAAGUCGUCGAAGGUGGAAUCAAUAACUGGGGUGAAGUCGUAACAAGGUAGCCGUAUCGGAAGGUGCGGCUGGAUCACCUCCUUUCUAAGGAGA
RNAcentral lists this ribosomal RNA (226 nucleotides) under Clostridioides difficile. RNAcentral's name for it is "partial 16S ribosomal RNA". It matches the Rfam family "Bacterial small subunit ribosomal RNA", at positions 1317 to 1533 of the family's 1533-position model. The record is from RNAcentral. Lineage: Bacteria; Bacillati; Bacillota; Clostridia; Peptostreptococcales; Peptostreptococcaceae.